Molecule: ribosomal RNA, 241 nt
Filed under: uncultured Staphylococcus sp.
Lineage: Bacteria; Bacillati; Bacillota; Bacilli; Caryophanales; Staphylococcaceae
Description: partial 16S ribosomal RNA
Rfam family: Bacterial small subunit ribosomal RNA
Source: RNAcentral
CGGACGGGUGAGUAACACGUGGAUAACCUACCUAUAAGACUGGGAUAACUUCGGGAAACCGGAGCUAAUACCGGAUAAUAUAUUGAACCGCAUGGUUCAAUAGUGAAAGACGGUUUUGCUGUCACUUAUAGAUGGAUCCGCGCCGCAUUAGCUAGUUGGUAAGGUAACGGCUUACCAAGGCAACGAUGCGUAGCCUACCUGAGAGGGUGAUCGGCCACACUGGAACUGAGACACGGUCCAG